GAUGAACGCUGGCGGCGUGCCUAAUACAUGCAAGUCGAGCGAACAGACGAGGAGCUUGCUCCUCUGACGUUAGCGGCGGACGGGUGAGUAACACGUGGAUAACCUACCUAUAAGACUGGGAUAACUUCGGGAAACCGGCGCUAAUACCGGAUAAUAUAUUGAACCGCAUGGUUCAAUAGUGAAAGACGGUUUUGCUGUAACUUAUAGCUGGAUCCGCGCCGCAUUAGCUAGUUGGUAAGGUAACGGCUUACCAAGGCAACGAUGCGUAGCCGAGCUGAGAGGGUGAUCGGCCACACUGGAGCUGAGCCACGGUCCAGACUCCUACGGGAGGCAGCAGUAGGGAAUCUUCCGCAAUGGGCGAAAGCCUGACGGAGCAACGCCGCGUGAGUGAUGAAGGUCUUCGGAUCGUAAAACUCUGUUAUUAGGGAAGAACAAAUGUGUAAGUAACUAUGCACGUCUUGACGGUACCUAAUCAGAAAGCCACGGCUAACUACGUG
RNAcentral lists this ribosomal RNA (497 nucleotides) under uncultured bacterium. RNAcentral's name for it is "partial 16S ribosomal RNA". It matches the Rfam family "Bacterial small subunit ribosomal RNA", at positions 28 to 507 of the family's 1533-position model. The record is from RNAcentral.